Long non-coding RNA from Columba livia (rock pigeon), 645 nucleotides. RefSeq lists it as uncharacterized. The transcript is spliced from 2 exons. The record is from RefSeq and is a predicted model, not a curated record. NCBI's taxonomy places the organism in Eukaryota, Metazoa, Chordata, Aves, Columbiformes, Columbidae.
CUGUUUGGAGACGUCUGUCAGGAGGUCCGGGGAGGAGCGGCACUGCCUCUCGUCGUAGUGGGAUGCGUAGUGCUUUCUGCAGGGCCAAGAGCAUGGGUGUGUGCGUGGCCAGGAGGAUCCCAUUGCCCACAGUCACCCAGGCAUUGCCCCCCCACCACACCCCCAGUACCUCUCAAAGGGCAGGCUCUUCAUCUUUGCCUUCCUCCCAUGCUCCAGCAGCUGCCUCUGUGUCCUCCCACUGCAGCAAUGGGGAAAAGGCAUGAAGACCACUAUCAGCCCCAGCCCUGGGCAUACGCACAUCCCAGGGGAGGAGAAGGGAUGCGGCAGGACCCGAGCAGUGGUCUCUCUGGGAAAAGCAGCUGUCAAGCAUCAUCCCCUUGCAUCAAGGUUUUUCUUCCUUGGUGAAUGCUUAUACUGGCAGUCAGAUAAACGACAGAAGAACUCAACACUUGUCAAGAACAUCAGCUCAUAUUAGCCAAUUUCCAAAAAGAUGACACCACAUAAAUAAAAGCCAUUCCUCCUUUGUUAUAAACGAUGUUAACAAGUGAGUGUUGAUGCUGAAAGACACUUAGCAAUCAGCAGUGUAACCUCUUGUUUUGGAGUUGAGGUUCUUUUGCUUUUUUUUUUUUCCUUAAAAGCUGAAAA